Molecule: ribosomal RNA, 253 nt
Filed under: uncultured bacterium
Lineage: Bacteria
Description: partial 16S ribosomal RNA
Rfam family: Bacterial small subunit ribosomal RNA
Source: RNAcentral
UACGUAGGGGGCAAGCGUUGUCCGGAAUUAUUGGGCGUAAAGAGCUCGUAGGCGGUCUGUCGCGUCGGCUGUGAAAACCCGGAGCUCAACUCCGGGCCUGCAGUCGAUACGGGCAGACUGGAGUUCGGCAGGGGAGACUGGAAUUCCUGGUGUAGCGGUGAAAUGCGCAGAUAUCGGGAGGAACACCGGUGGCGAAGGCGGUUCUCUGGGCCUGUUCUGACGCUGAGGAGCGAAAGCGUGGGGAGCGAACAGG